UACGUAGGGGGCGAGCGUUGUCCGGAUUUAUUGGGCGUAAAGAGCUCGUAGGCGGUUCGAUAAGUCGGAUGUGAAAUCUCCACGCUCAACGUGGAGGGGCCAUUCGAUACUGUCGUGACUCGAGUCCGGUAGGGGAGUGUGGAAUUCCCGGUGUAGCGGUGAAAUGCGCAGAGAUCGGGAGGAACACCCGUAGCGAAGGCGGCACUCUGGGCCGGUACUGACGCUGAGGAGCGAAGGCGUGGGGAGCGAACAGG
This 254-nucleotide ribosomal RNA is filed under the name uncultured bacterium. RNAcentral describes it as "partial 16S ribosomal RNA". It matches the Rfam family "Bacterial small subunit ribosomal RNA", at positions 524 to 776 of the family's 1533-position model. The record is from RNAcentral.